UGGGGAAUAUUGGACAAUGGGCGAAAGCCUGAUCCAGCCAUGCCGCGUGUGUGAAGAAGGUCUUCGGAUUGUAAAGCACUUUAAGUUGGGAGGAAGGGCAGUAAGCGAAUACCUUGCUGUUUUGACGUUACCGCCAGAAUAAGCACCGGCUAACUCUGUGCCAGCAGCCGCGGUAAUACAGAGGGUGCAAGCGUUAAUCGGAAUUACUGGGCGUAAAGCGCGCGUAGGUGGUUCGUUAAGUUGAAUGUGAAAGCCCCGGGCUCAACCUGGGAACUGCAUCCAAAACUGGCGAGCUAGAGUAGGGCAGAGGGUGGUGGAAUUUCCUGUGUAGCGGUGAAAUGCGUAGAUAUAGGAAGGAACACCAGUGGCGAAGGCGACCACCUGGGCUCAUACUGACACUGAGGUGCGAAAGCGUGGGGAGCAAACAGG
Molecule: ribosomal RNA, 429 nt
Filed under: Pseudomonadota bacterium
Lineage: Bacteria; Pseudomonadati; Pseudomonadota
Description: Proteobacteria bacterium partial 16S ribosomal RNA
Rfam family: Bacterial small subunit ribosomal RNA
Source: RNAcentral